UGCAUCUGAGGCCAGUGAGGAUGAGAACCUCCGGGGGCAGGAGGUUCGACUCGAGCGAAGCGAGAGAACGUUGCGUCAGCAACGGCCCGCAGGGCGAGCCACGAAGUGGUGAG
This 113-nucleotide small RNA is filed under the name Klebsiella pneumoniae. RNAcentral's name for it is "partial RtT sRNA". It matches the Rfam family "RtT RNA", at positions 1 to 110 of the family's 130-position model. From Rfam's summary of the family: This family represents a bacterial cis-regulatory element known as RtT RNA. The exact function of RtT is unknown although it is thought that it may be involved in changing the cellular response in relation to amino acid starvation. Lineage: Bacteria; Pseudomonadati; Pseudomonadota; Gammaproteobacteria; Enterobacterales; Enterobacteriaceae. The record is from RNAcentral.